This 661-nucleotide ribosomal RNA is filed under the name uncultured fungus. RNAcentral describes it as "SSU rRNA". It matches the Rfam family "Eukaryotic small subunit ribosomal RNA", at positions 807 to 1490 of the family's 1831-position model. Lineage: Eukaryota; Fungi. The record is from RNAcentral.
GCAUGGAAUAAUAAAAUAGGACGUGUGGUUCUAUUUUGUUGGUUUCUAGGACCGCCGUAAUAAUUAAUAGGGACAGUCGGGGGCACCAGUAUUCAAUUGUCAGAGGUGAAAUUCUUGGAUUUAUUGAAGACUAACUACUGCGAAAGCAUUUGCCAAGGAUGUUUUCAUUAAUCAGGAACGAAAGUUAGGGGAUCGAAGACGAUCAGAUACCGUCGUAGUCUUAACCAUAAACUAUGCCGACUAGGGAUCGGACGAUGUUAUUUUUUGACGCGUUCGGCACCUUACGAGAAAUCAAAGUGCUUGGGCUCCAGGGGGAGUAUGGUCGCAAGGCUGAAACUUAAAGAAAUUGACGGAAGGGCACCACCAGGGGUGGAGCCUGCGGCUUAAUUUGACUCAACACGGGGAAACUCACCAGGUCCAGACACAAUGAGGAUUGACAGAUUGAGAGCUCUUUCUUGAUUUUGUGGGUGGUGGUGCAUGGCCGUUCUUAGUUGGUGGAGUGAUUUGUCUGCUUAAUUGCGAUAACGAACGAGACCUUAACCUGCUAAAUAGCCCGUAUUGCUUUGGCAGUACGCUGGCUUCUUAGAGGGACUAUCGGCUCAAGCCGAUGGAAGUUUGAGGCAAUAACAGGUCUGUGAUGCCCUUAGAUGUUCUGGGCCGC